GACGAACGCUGGCGGCGUGCUUAACACAUGCAAGUCGAACGGUGAAGGGGUCUGCUUUUGUGGGCCCUGGAUGAGUGGCGAACGGGUGAGUAACACGUGAGUAACCUGCCCCCUUCUUCUGGAUAACCGCAUGAAAGUGUGGCUAAUACGGGAUAUUCUGGGUCUGUCGCAUGAUGGGUCUGGGAAAGAUUGCGCCUUUGGGUGUUUUUGGUGGGGGAUGGGCUCGCGGCCUAUCAGCUUGUUGGUGGGGUGAUGGCCUACCAAGGCGGUGACGGGUAGCCGGCCUGAGAGGGUGGACGGUCACACUGGGACUGAGACACGGCCCAGACUCCUACGGGAGGCAGCAGUGGGGAAUAUUGCACAAUGGGCGCAAGCCUGAUGCUGCGACGCCGCGUGAGGGAUGGAGGCCUUCGGGUUGUAAACCUCUUUCGCCAGUGAAGCAGGCCUGCUCCUUGUGGGUGGGUUGACGGUAGCUGGAUAAGAAGCGCCGGCUAACUACGUG
RNAcentral lists this ribosomal RNA (502 nucleotides) under uncultured bacterium. RNAcentral describes it as "partial 16S ribosomal RNA". It matches the Rfam family "Bacterial small subunit ribosomal RNA", at positions 28 to 507 of the family's 1533-position model. The record is from RNAcentral.